Molecule: ribosomal RNA, 466 nt
Filed under: uncultured bacterium
Lineage: Bacteria
Description: partial 16S ribosomal RNA
Rfam family: Bacterial small subunit ribosomal RNA
Source: RNAcentral
GACGAACGCUGGCGGCGCGCCUAACACAUGCAAGUCGAACGAGCGAGAGAGAGCUUGCUUUCUCGAGCGAGUGGCGAACGGGUGAGUAACGCGUGAGGAACCUGCCUCAAAGAGGGGGACAACAGUUGGAAACGACUGCUAAUACCGCAUAAGCCCACGGCUCGGCAUCGAGCAGGGGGAAAAGGAGCAAUCCGCUUUGAGAUGGCCUCGCGUCCGAUUAGCUAGUUGGUGAGGUAACGGCCCACCAAGGCGACGAUCGGUAGCCGGACUGAGAGGUUGAACGGCCACAUUGGGACUGAGAUACGGCCCAGACUCCUACGGGAGGCAGCAGUGGGGAAUAUUGCACAAUGGGGGAAACCCUGAUGCAGCGACGCCGCGUGGAGGAAGAAGGUCUUCGGAUUGUAAACUCCUGUUGUUGGGGAAGAUAAUGACGGUACCCAACAAGGAAGUGACGGCUAACUACGUG